Molecule: long non-coding RNA, 4237 nt
Organism: Helianthus annuus (common sunflower)
Lineage: Eukaryota; Viridiplantae; Streptophyta; Magnoliopsida; Asterales; Asteraceae
Exons: 4
Source: RefSeq, a predicted model, not a curated record
AAAUCUUGCCCAAAUCUUGUCAAAAUCUACACAAAAGAUCCUUAAGAUCUCAACAUCUUUUAAAUAGGGCUUAUGGCUUUCUAUUUCUCAUUACACAAAAUAAACACAGACUUUGAGUCUGUACCCUCUAUCUCUCUCGAUCUCUUAUGCAUACACUCACACACAAACAUUCCCUUCAUCUUCCAUCUUUCAAAACCUGCACACCUACAUUAAUUAGGAACAUCACCUUCCCUCUCUGAUAAAACCGCCGGCAACCGGAGCUAAUAUUCCGGCGGUGGAGCCCCCCUUCCAUCUCUAAAACGAUCCGACCCCCCCCCUUCGAUUAUCAGAACGGAUCACCACCACCACCGUCCGGUGGUGGUGCGGCGGCGACAGAACAGAAGAGGAGAGAGAGGAUGGAGAGAGAGAAGCUGAGAAGAGGGAGAGAGAGAGACGGCGGAGGUUGAUGAUGGCGCCGGCGGGUGGUUCGACGACGACGGCAGAGCCGCUGGUCGACGGCGGCGCUGACUCUCCGGCUUGCUUGGUUUUCUGGUGAGGAUCGGCGGCGGCUCGGUUCAGCUUCAGGUCGUCGACACCAAUUUCUGUCCGAAUCAGUCACAGCUCGGGUUCACGGUGAUGUUUAAGUCUCGGGUCAGAAUUCGAGUUCCUGGUCAGCCGCAGAUCGGGACUCAGUUCAGAUUAUUUUGGACUCGGUUCAGCUUCAGAAGCGGUACGGGUUGACUCGGUCAACUCAGCUUACGGGUCAACUCGGUCUGGGUCAACAGUGGUCAACAUAUCAGUUCGGGUGACGUUUCGGGUUCGGGACUCGGUUAGUUCAGCCGCGGUUCGUGGUCCAGUCAAAGUUGGUCAGAGUGGUCAAGACAGUCAACGGUGUGGUUCGGAUCAGUUGGUUCGGGUCAGAUUUGGCUCGGUCAAACUCGGUCAACCGAGUCAACUCAGUUGACCCGGUCAACUCAUUCAACGACUCGACACAAGAAUUGGAAUAUUGUAGAAAGCACGCUAGCGAGUCUCAUUUUGGAAACGACAUCACGGAGUCGUAAUUAGCUAGCUUUACACAUGGAAAUUCAGGUGAGUUCAUAACCCCACCUUUUACGGCUUUACAUUUUUAUAAAUGUUUUCGGGGUGGAAAGACAUGCACGUUUUGCAAAAACAUACAAAGUUUAGAACAAACGCAAAACUCGUAUUUCUAAAUCAUAUUACGAAGGGAUUUCGAGGAACACAAAUGAAUUACGAAAGGUUUAAACAUACCGGUUUUUACAAAAACAAAUGCUUAUUUUCGAAAUGUGAAUGAUAUUCGGCCAGGGUGACCAGGAAUUUGGUCAGGGUGACCAGGGAUUCGGUCAGGGUGACCAGGGAUUUAUUUUACAUAUGGUAUGGUUAGUGUAAAGAGGGUUACUACUUAGAUCAUGUGAGCGGGUAGGCGGGAACUGGAGGCCAUUAAUCCUCAUUGUAGGACUGAGGGACGUAAGCGGUAGAUCUAUCUGGGUGUAGCGAGCCCAACCCCAGGCCCAGCAGAACGGACCUUGGGGUGACUUUGUGCCCAACGCAAAAUCCGCUAGGUUUGAGUCUUCCUACUUGCACUUCACACAUAUCAAUGGCCUUGCAAACCAUUGGUGAUCUCUUUUUCCUUAUCUGCUACAUACCAGAGAUUUUAUACUUACGGAAACUUCUUGUUCAUACAAAUUAACUACCAUGUUUUAUACAAAUUCAAAGAAUUAUGGGGGUAUGGAGUCAAAGUCAGGGUGGGCAUUGACGGUUAUGCGAACAUUACAAAUACAAGGCUUUACAAAUACAUGGUUUUAUGAACAUAACGUGUUACAAACACAACGUUUCCAUAUAACUUGGCAAGAAAAUGAUUUUUAAAUUCAUUUUCUCAAUACUAUUUCAAAAACCGGUUACCAAAGAUUUAUUUCAUACCUUUCACAACUCAAAAGAUUUAUCUCAAAUCUUUUAUGAACAAACUAUGAACUCGCUCAACUUUAUGUUGAUUUUUCGCAUGUUUCUUUCUCAGGUUACUUUUCUAAGACAAGGCAUUGUUGGAAUAGGAGAACCAUGUGGAGUCGGGUACUUAGUGGGCGUUCAUUUUCUAAAAGACUUAGCUUAUUUGCUUCCGCUGUGCAAUGAAGAUACCAGUCCGGUCACGCCAGCUCUGAUGAAUGUUAACAUUCUUUUUUUGCUGCAAAAGUAUUAUCUGAUGUAAAAUUAUUAGCUUCAUAGGUAGGAGGUGAUGUUCAAUAUUACAAUUAAUAGUCUUUAUGUAAUCUGAAUGCAACAAGUUUAAGCUCUGGGUUGAGAAAGUAUAAGCUCAUUAUAUAUCUUUUGUCUUCUUAGAAGUCUUGGCUCAUUGAACAAUUAAGAUAUUUAUGAUACAAACUAUCAUCAAGUUAAGUUUUGUUUUUCCCCGAAAAGUUUUUGAACACAAAAGCACAUAGGUAUUUAGGUUUUCUAGCCAUUGUAGUGUUAGAAUUAAUGAUUUGUAGGUUGAUGGUAUGAUUGAAUGAUUUUUAGGCUGAUAGUGGGAAGCUAGCAGAGUUAGAUGGGUUCACUUAUUCAUGGAGCUAAGGACGUCAGUGCAGAUUGCUUGGGUCAGAUUUCUAAUGUGUAUUGGGUUGUCCCAUAUAUGUGUUUCUUGCCUAUUGUUUCAGGACUCUGCUGGUUAAAUACACCUGCCCACAUCGUCAGCACCGGUUAGUUUCUAAUACUUAUGAAUAGGUUGAUUUGGUCUAUGCAUUAACUUUAAUGGGUCAUAUUUUCUUAGUACAAGGUCUUUAAAUUAGUGUACCCAUUUAUAUGAUGUUUUUUCAUAUAUUAUUAUAGGUUGAUGGUAUGAUUAAAUUUAAAGAAAGUAUGUUAGUUAACUACUCUGUUUAGUUUAUAUAUUUUUUGUAACAAUUUAUUCACAUUAUGUUCUUAUUCAUGAUUCGUAUCAAUAAAUUUCAGUUUUUAUUGCCUUUUUAGCUUGGUUUCUGUUCUAUUCGAUCCGAACAUUAUGACAAAAGAAUCAUAUUCUCAUGUCUUCUUUUUUUAUUCAAAUUUUUUUCAUGUUAGUUUCUAAUUAUUUAACCAGUUUAUAAAUCUUGACUUCAAUUAUUCAUCCAAUUUCUAUAUAAUUAACAGCAACAACACCAAUUAAGCUUUGUAUAACACCAUACUAUGGUUCUCAUGAGUUAAACUUACCUAAAUUGAUUGUGCUAUUCUUUUUUUUUUUUUUUUGUAUUAUCUUAAAGAUAAGGCUCAAUAUACAAAAUCCAAUGUGAGUGCUCUAACUUGAUGUGUACAGAUUGCAUGUCAACUUAAUUGUUAAAUUGAGACGGUAUAUAAGUCUAUUAAAUCAAGAAUAUCAAAUUAGAUCUAAGACUGAAUGGGUCAAAUGGAAUGGGAAUGAAAAGAAAGCGGUAGACUGAGACUUAUAAUGAGAGUAUUUGAUGUUUUGAAUGGAUAAUAUCACAUGAAAAAGAAAAAAUAGUAAUUUGCAUUUGAAUGUGUCGAUUUCUUUAGUUGUAUAAUCAUUGUCUCUGUAUUACAAAAAAUCCAAUCAGCCCUAUUGUUCGGUGUAUAUAAUGUGUUUACUAAUUAAUUUUCAAGUAACUGAUGCAUAGAUUAGCAAAGAGGCAUUGGUGGAUAAUUCAUUAACAAAGGAGGGUGGGCAUGUGCCCACUGGACAACCCAUAAGUUUAGUGGUUGUGGCCCAAGCGCCCAAGCUUUUUUGAAUUGUGCCAAAUUAGUUCCCCCAGUCUCUGCUCAUUCCCUCUUCCCCCUUUGUAUUAGUGAGCAUCACAACUCAGGAGCCAGUCAAGGCACAGCGAUCAUUUUGUUCUGAACAGUGGCUAAGGAUAGUGGUCGUUACUACAUACGGGAAAUUGGGUAAAGCUGGUGUUAUUUGUAAUCAAUUGCUAUUUUGAUUCAGUUCGAGUUAAAAUGGAGAUUGUAUAUGAAAUUGGUUAUAUUAAUAUUCAAAAAAGUCAUGUUAGAUAAGGCUGCUCAACAGGGGUAAAGGAGGAUUAAGAAUAGAGUUUGCAACGAGAUCCAGAGAACACAAACAGGCAUGGCAAGAUAAAAUGGAACCUUUAGCAGUGAGUUAGAGGAAGAGAAUUUGGUAUUGUUGCAAGUAAAGGACACUUUUGUAAGCCCAACUUUUGCGUAGUCUGUUUCAAUAUAUAUAUAAGCGCGACAAUUGUGUAUAUAUAUCAUGCAAUUUCUUAUGUGACGAUGAAUGAAUUAUGUUGAUAUUUAUAUA